GGAGGAGGAGGAGGAGGAGGAGGAGGAAAUAAAACGAGAGGUCUGCAGCAACAGAGAACAGAGGAGGAAACGGCUAAAUGAGUUACUUUUACAGAGAGAGAGGUGGAAUCACUCUGGAAAGGGGGCCAGGUCCAGUGGUGGACAGAACUGAAACCACAGCACUGACCUCGACAGAAGUUUCCCAGAGAGCACACGUGGCAUCGAAGCAACGCAACGAAGCCAUCUCGUGCACGGACAGACAGGCGUGUUGAACUUUGUGCUCAGAAGGGCAUCGCAGCAAGGACAAAACCAUGGCAACCCAUCUUUUGUCCAGGCGGCGAGAGAUGAAAGCGGCUGUCCUGGAUGAAGCAAAGACCAGCUGAAAACGAAUUUGCACUAGUGCUGAGUGAACAAGCACGCAAAAAUAAAGUCUGUAUGUACGUCUGUCUGCAGAGUGGACACACUAUAAACACACACGCUUUGAUCGCUCUCACUCUGGCACCUUAAACAAAAGCGGUUAGGACGUAGAUUUCAUUUAAGGUGGACGUACGUUGGUGGAGCUCUCUCGUUUCCAAGAGACGAGGGGCUCACGAUCCGCCCGGAGGGGGACGCAAAUGUAGCCUAGGCCCUAAGUAGGUCGAAACCGAACCCUCCUUUCCUCGUUAAGCUUUCAAAGUCACAUUGCACCUUUGGGAAACGGCACAAGGAGAAGUGAGCCAGUUAAAAGCUGUUAGAACAGUGUUAGGGGGCUUGCUUCGCCUCAACAAGACGGCGUCUGCCGUGUCCCGGUGAAUAGGCGGGGGUGGGGGGUGGGGUAGGAGUUUUGGCAUCGCUGCAAGAGAAUUUCUAAUGAGGUUUAAGAAAGAGGUUAUUUUUUAAGACAAGAAAAAGGAGCCCGAGUCCUGGCUGCUAUGGAAACGGAGACUAUAUUCACCAUAGGAAUGUGUAUUGUUAACUUUUUUCAGUAUUGCUUCCAAGAAAUAAAAAGGUGUGUGUGUGUGUGUGUGUGUGUGUGUGUGUGUGUGAGGGGUAGGAGUGGUUUUGUUUACUCCAGGCUGCCUUUCAGAACGCUUCACUCCUUGCUCCAGAGCACUGACAAUCAGAAUGUCGGGAGGAGGGAGGGAAGAAGAGGGAAGCUCAGACCCAUCUACCCAGAAUGCUCUGCAGAAGUGCCAUGUUGUCUAGGCGCGCUCAUGCACUCUUUUCAAAGCAAUAUCUCCUUUAAUACGGACUAAAUAAGGACUUUGGUUGUUGGUUUUUGUGAAUAUCUGAGGAUUUUUUUUUCCUUUUCUGUACAAAUCCAGAACAGGUUGUUUUCAUCUGAGGAGCUGGUGAGGCGGUCCACUCGGUGGAAGCAUGGACGUAAUUUUGGGGGGGGGGACAGGGGGGACAUGUCCCCCCCACUUUUUCCAAAGUCAAGUUUUGACCCCUGCAUUUUUUACCAUCCAAAAGCAACAUUACGCUAUAUGAAAUUGACACUGGUUGAGCUCUAGGACCAAGCGGAAAACAACUGUUUGUGUUGAAGGCUGUUUCCAAUUAGAGCAUACUGUAAAGAUACCCGCCCCCCCCCCCCACUUCUAAAGUGAAAAUUACGUCCAUAGGUGGAAGUUUGGUUUCGUGUGAAUGUACCGUCCUUCCUUCAGCAGCAGCGUGUAGAUCUGCUAUUAUCCACGUGGAUCUGGGUAAAAAAAACAACAUGAAGCUAACAAUCCAACCUUCUUUCUGCUGAGAUGUUUUUAACAAGUUGCUGACCAAUAUAUCAGACCUUUCUACUCACGACUGACACGGUUGUAGAUGAUCUCCGACGGUUUUGUAGAGCUACGUAUUUAGUCCUCUCCUUUUGUUUUUGGUCAGACAAUCAGUGACAGUGAAAGCGUUUAUCCUCCGGUGUUUCCGCUCUCUUUCAGUAGUGUGGCUUCUUAUAACGAGCCAAGAAAGUGCAAUUGCUUUGACUGUUUACAUACUGUAUGUAUAUUUUCCCUCUCUCUCUUUUUUUUAACUAAAGGCACUACGUUAUCGCCAGCGGAUGAUUAACUUUAUAGCAAAGGUACACAGAGUUAUUUAUCAAGUCUGCAUGACAUUGUAAGCUUCGCCCGUUGCCUCUGACGGCGUGCAUCUGAGAAACAAAACAAGAUAAAUCAGUGAUCGUAGCGUAGAAUGUAAGCUGAAGCAUUUUGCCUCAAUACCCAUAAUAAUAAAAGCAUUUUAUGUCUCCUAUGACCUACAAA
Molecule: non-coding RNA, 2207 nt
Organism: Nothobranchius furzeri (turquoise killifish)
Lineage: Eukaryota; Metazoa; Chordata; Actinopteri; Cyprinodontiformes; Nothobranchiidae
Source: RefSeq, a predicted model, not a curated record